AGUGAACGCUGGCGGCGUGCCUAAUACAUGCAAGUCGAACGAAGUGGCGCACGGGAGAGUAAUAUAUAGUUAAUCUGACCUACACAGAGGAACAACAGUUGGAAACGCCUGCUAAUACCUCAUAGUGAAGGAAGAGACUAUAUCUUAUCAGCUAGUGGGUGAGGUAAUGGCUUAACAAGGCUAUGACGAGUAACUGGUCGCAGAGGAUGGUCUGGCACAUUGGAGCUGAGACACUGUCCAAACUCCUACGGGAGGCAGCAGUAAUGAAUAUUGCGCAAUGGGGGAAACCCUGACGCAGCAACGCCGCGUGGAGGAUUACACUUUUCGGAGCGUAAACUCCUUUUAUCAGGAAAGCGGUACCUGAUGAAUAAGCACCGGCUAACUACGUGCCAGCAGCCGCGGUAAUAC
Molecule: ribosomal RNA, 408 nt
Filed under: uncultured bacterium
Lineage: Bacteria
Description: partial 16S ribosomal RNA
Rfam family: Bacterial small subunit ribosomal RNA
Source: RNAcentral